GCUUGGCAAGUGUUUGAAUAAAGUAAACUUGUUACAUGUGUUACAUGUUAGAAUAGGCUAACUAAAGUAAACGCUUGCCUAAAUAAGGUUUAUAUGAAUGCCCAGCCAAUUUAGCUUGACUUACUUUCUGGAUCCCAAGAAGCAGACCUGUUAACUGAAUUGUUAGAGCAGGAGUAGGUAGAUAGGAGGUAGAUAGGAGUCUGCAGAGUAAGGUUGGAGGGCAGGGAAAGGAGAUUCUUAGUUUAUAUGAAUUUUGGCUCUUGAUGGGAAUUAUCAGAGUGUGGGUUAAUAUUUAUCUGCACUAGUUGGAUGCUUUCACUGCAGUCCUCUGUUCCGUGAUCAAGCAAGUUAGAAGCAUAUGGUCUCAGUGAAAGUGAUAUAAAGUGAGCUCACAUAUGGUAGAAAAACAUCUUACCUAUUGUACAUGAAUAGGAUUGGCUGGGCAAAUGCAAGAAACAAGUUUGGGAUGCAGGUGCAAGUGAAUAUUCACUUAUAAAAGAGAGAUUAGCCCAUAUAUGAGGCAAUCCACAGGCACUCACUCCCUCCCUUGCCUGCAGAAAUACUGCAAAUGAGGAGUGAAUUCAGCUGGAUGGAAUGUGAUCAUGACUGAGAGCUUCCAAAACUUUCCAGUUUCCCAAAUGGUGACAGGAAGCUGCUGCUCUUGGUGGGCAACUGGAGAGAAUGGAACUUCCCUCUCUGGUAAAGCUGUUUCUCUCCAUUGCAGAGCUCUCCACAGAUUCAUAUCU
Long non-coding RNA from Pezoporus occidentalis (night parrot), 746 nucleotides. RefSeq lists it as uncharacterized. The transcript has 3 exons. The record is from RefSeq and is a predicted model, not a curated record. Lineage: Eukaryota; Metazoa; Chordata; Aves; Psittaciformes; Psittacidae.